Molecule: ribosomal RNA, 465 nt
Filed under: uncultured bacterium
Lineage: Bacteria
Description: partial 16S ribosomal RNA
Rfam family: Bacterial small subunit ribosomal RNA
Source: RNAcentral
GACGAACGCUGGCGGCGUGCUUAACACAUGCAAGUCGAACGGAAAGGCCCUGCUUGCAGGGUACUCGAGUGGCGAACGGGUGAGUAACACGUGGGUGAUCUGCCCUGCACUUCGGGAUAAGCCUGGGAAACUGGGUCUAAUACCGGAUAGGAGCCAUUUUUAGUGUGAUGGUUGGAAAGUUUUUUCGGUGUAGGAUGAGCUCGCGGCCUAUCAGCUUGUUGGUGGGGUAAUGGCCUACCAAUGCGGCGACGGGUAGCCGGCCUGAGAGGGUGGACGGCCACAUUGGGACUGAGAUACGGCCCAGACUCCUACGGGAGGCAGCAGUGGGGAAUAUUGCACAAUGGGCGCAAGCCUGAUGCAGCGACGCCGCGUGGGGGAUGACGGCCUUCGGGUUGUAAACUCCUUUCGCUAGGGACGAAGCUUUUUGUGACGGUACCUAGAUAAGAAGCACCGGCUAACUACGUG